CGGCAGGGGAAGAGAUAAGGAGAUAGGAGGAAGCUGCUGGGCAGAAUCCUUAUUCUUGACUGACUGUUUGGUUUUCAUUUGUUUUGCAGACUUGGGAACCGAAGCAGCCUUAGAAGAAGAUGUCUUCUUAAUUGUGGACUUUUUUUUGCUUGCUUGGCAGCAGGCACUUCAGAGGGAUUAGGAGCAGAGCUCGAGAACAUUCCGAGAGGACCGAUGCUGGCGCUGACUUAAGCCUUUUGUGUGCAUUCACAGAAGACCACGAUGAAGAACAAGAUAGUUUCACAGGCUGAAUUGACAUGUUAAUAUCAACUUCAUGGUCAUCAUUAGCAGGCCCUCAGUGAAAAUACUAGACAAGGGAUAUUUUCAAGAGAUAGCUGUUUGAAAACCAGGACAAAGGCAGACAUAACAGCUUAUCUUUUCAGAGGGCUGCUGUGAGGGCUGAAAAAUCUAUGUGUGAGCGCUGAUACAGAAAGCUGAGACCAUGGACUGAAGGCAAAGCUACAUAUGAUAUCAUCUGUGGAACAUGCACAUCAAAGCAAGCAUGUUUGGCAUCAUUCUGUGUAAGUAGAUUCAACUUUACUUGUGUACCCCUCCCUUUAAAAAUGCACAAUCAACAACAAUCUAACAGGU
Pogona vitticeps (central bearded dragon) is the source of this 630-nucleotide non-coding RNA. Lineage: Eukaryota; Metazoa; Chordata; Lepidosauria; Squamata; Agamidae. The record is from RefSeq and is a predicted model, not a curated record.